UACGAAGGGGGCUAGCGUUGCUCGGAAUCACUGGGCGUAAAGAGCGUGUAGGCGGCUUGUUAAGUCUUGCGUGAAAUCUCGGGGCUCAACCCCGAGCGGUCGUGAGAAACUGGCAGGCUAGAGUGCGGGAGAGGAGAGUGGAAUUCCUGGUGUAGCGGUGAAAUGCGCAGAUAUCAGGAAGAACACCCGUGGCGAAGGCGGCUCUCUGGAACGCAACUGACGCUGAGACGCGAAAGCGUGGGGAGCAAACAGG
RNAcentral lists this ribosomal RNA (253 nucleotides) under uncultured bacterium. Its description in RNAcentral is "partial 16S ribosomal RNA". It matches the Rfam family "Bacterial small subunit ribosomal RNA", at positions 524 to 776 of the family's 1533-position model. The record is from RNAcentral.